CUUGUACAGUCUGUCACUGUAAAAAUUGUCAACGAUUUCGUUCAGAAGGUGUAUCUUUUCAUCAGUUUCCGAAAGAUCGAGAACUUUUAAAAAAGUGGCUGAUUGUUGUGAAAAAAGAUGACAGCUUCAAACUGACUAAGUAUAAGCUGGUGUGCUCAGAUCAUUUCACAACAACUGAUUUCAUUGUUGUAAAUGAGAGAAAACAAUUGAAAUCGAACGCAAUUCCCAGUGUGAAUUUAGAUGAAAGUCUAGAAGCUUCUUCAACUUCAAUGAGUACUGUGAGUGCUACUUCAGCUGAUAUUUGAGAAGAGUCUCCAUCGAUUAUACCUCAAGGUGUAAAGAGGACAUUAAGUGCUGCGCAGAGAUACCAUGGAAAAAGCAGUAACAGUACAAGUGGAAAUAAAA
Molecule: long non-coding RNA, 405 nt
Organism: Zophobas morio
Lineage: Eukaryota; Metazoa; Arthropoda; Insecta; Coleoptera; Tenebrionidae
Exons: 3
Source: RefSeq, a predicted model, not a curated record